Long non-coding RNA from Pezoporus occidentalis (night parrot), 252 nucleotides. RefSeq lists it as uncharacterized. The record is from RefSeq and is a predicted model, not a curated record. NCBI's taxonomy places the organism in Eukaryota, Metazoa, Chordata, Aves, Psittaciformes, Psittacidae. The transcript has 2 exons.
CAAUUGUCCCUACAUAAAUAUUUUGAAGCCUCAAAUAAAGAGGCUCAGAGCAGCAAAUACCAGGUGAAAAAUGAAACACCAGUGGGUUAUUACAGCCCUUACUGCUGCAAGUUGUCCAGGGAGCCUGGAUUCUGCUUUCUGACUGGCUUCCCUAACCUGUUCAGUACAAGAACAGGGUAAUUCUUUUCCACAGCUACGUUGUGAAACAAUAGAUUAUGUGCACAUGCAUCCAGAAGUUUGGCUGAUACAAAC